This 282-nucleotide ribosomal RNA is filed under the name Escherichia coli. Its description in RNAcentral is "partial 16S ribosomal RNA". It matches the Rfam family "Bacterial small subunit ribosomal RNA", at positions 505 to 786 of the family's 1533-position model. Lineage: Bacteria; Pseudomonadati; Pseudomonadota; Gammaproteobacteria; Enterobacterales; Enterobacteriaceae. The record is from RNAcentral.
GUGCCAGCAGCCGCGGUAAUACAGAGGGUGCAAGCGUUAAUCGGAAUUACUGGGCGUAAAGCGCGCGUAGGUGGUUCGUUAAGUUGGAUGUGAAAUCCCCGGGCUCAACCUGGGAACUGCAUUCAAAACUGACGAGCUAGAGUAUGGUAGAGGGUGGUGGAAUUUCCUGUGUAGCGGUGAAAUGCGUAGAUAUAGGAAGGAACACCAGUGGCGAAGGCGACCACCUGGACUGAUACUGACACUGAGGUGCGAAAGCGUGGGGAGCAAACAGGAUUAGAUACC